Long non-coding RNA from Chelonia mydas (Green sea turtle), 306 nucleotides. RefSeq lists it as uncharacterized. Lineage: Eukaryota; Metazoa; Chordata; Testudines; Cheloniidae. The record is from RefSeq and is a predicted model, not a curated record. The transcript is spliced from 3 exons.
AGGCAUGUCGCUCUAGCCCCGGAGUGGGAAGGGGUAGCUGCCUGGGAGCAAGGUACCGAAGCAGGGCAGUGCUGGGGAGCUCCAGCCUGGUAGCCCCCCAGCCUGCAGGCCUUGUGGAAGGCCUUUGAAAGACACAAAGAUGGACCAGUCCACUCUGUAAGGCGGAAGAAACGACUGAGCACCUUUGAUGGGUCGGUAACGGCUUUGAUAAAGAAAGGGAAAAGCUUGCUGAGGAAUUCAAACAUCCUAAGCAUGUAACACAACGGGUGCUGGGCCAUUACUCGGGCUCCUAUUAGUCACUGCAAU